UUUUUAUCAAUUAAUUUAGUAAAACUUCAUAAUACCUCCUAAAUUGAUGGAAUAACCACUAUAAAAUUAUUAUUUUCUUGAUAAAUGGAGACGACAAAGGCUCCAAACCUCUUUUAACAUCGUCAUAUGUUAGUGCAGGAUGCAACUAGGCAUUAAAACAAUAUUGUCAUAUGUUUUGAAAUUUUCUCAAAUUCUAUUGGCUAACCCCUACAAAAAUAUUGAGUUUUUGGUAAAUACUUUAUAUACUGAAGCUUAUAAUCUUAAGUGUUGUUUUAAAAUCUCUACCAUAUUCUACAUUUGUAUUAAUGUAUGCUAAACUCUUUUUCAUAGUAAAUGAGUAUCGUUCAAUUGUUUUUACCAAUUAAUUUAGUAAAACUUCAUAAUACCCCCUAAAUCGAUGGAAUAAUCAAUAUAAAAUUAUUAUUUUCUUGAUACACGGAGAGCACAAAAUCUCCAAAUCUCUUUGAACAUCAUAAUAUGUUAGUGUAGGAUGCAACUAGGCAUUAAAACAAUAUUGUCAUAUUUUUUGAAAUUAUCUCAAAAUCUAUGGGCAAACCCCUACAAAAAUAUUGAGUUUUUGGUAAAUACUUUAUAUACUGAAGCCUAUAAUCUUUAAUGUUAUUUUAAAAUUUCUACCAUAUUCUACAUUUUUAUUAAUGUAUGCUACUAUAAUCUUUAAUGUUAUUUUAAAAUUUCUACCAUAUUCUACAUUUUUAUUAAUGUAUGCUCAAUUCCUUUUCAUGGUAAAUGAGCAUCGUUCAAUUGUUUUUAUCAAUUUAUUUAGUAAAACUUCAUAAUACCCCUUAAAUCGAUGGAAUAACCAAUAUAAAAUUAUUAUUUUCUUGAUAAACGGAGAGCACAAAGGCUCCAAACCUCUUUGAACAUCAUCAUAUGUUAGUACAGGAUGCAACUAGGCAUUAAAACAAUAUUGUCAUAUUUUUUGAAAUUUUCUCAAAAUCUAUGGGCUAAUACUCCUACAAAAAUAUUGAGUUUUUGUUAAAUACUUUGUAUACUGAAGCCUAUAAUCUUUAGUGUUGUUUUAAAAUUUCUACCAUAUUCUACAUUUGUAUUAAUGUAUGCUUAACUCGUUUUCAUGGUAAAUGAGCAUUUUUCAAUUGUUUUUAUCAAAUAAUUUAAUAAAACUUCAUAAUACUCCCUAAAUCAAUGGAAUAACCACUAUAAAAUUAUUAUUUUCUUGAUAAACGGAGACGACAAAGGCUCCAAACCUCUUUUAACAUCAUCAUAUGUUAGUGCAGGAUGCAACUAGGCAUUAAAACAAUAUUGUCAUAUUUUUUGAAAUUUUCUCAAAAUCUAUGGGCUUAACCCCGACAAAAAUAUUGAGUUUUUGGUAAAUACUUUAUAUACUGAAGCCUAUAAUCUUAAGUGUUGUUUU
RNAcentral lists this long non-coding RNA (1393 nucleotides) under Brassica napus (rape). RNAcentral's name for it is "long non-coding RNA (BNAP_LNC004790)". Lineage: Eukaryota; Viridiplantae; Streptophyta; Magnoliopsida; Brassicales; Brassicaceae. The record is from RNAcentral.